GACUAAUCUGCCCUCGGGACAGAAACAACCCCGGGAAACUGGGGCUAAUUUCUGAUAGAUGAAGAAGCCUGGAAUGACUCUUCGUCCAAAAGGUAUUGAGGUCACGCCCCUCAAUUUCGCCCGAGGAUGAGGCCGCACCCGAUCAGGUUGUUGGUGAGGUAAAGGCUCACCAAGCCUAUAACCGGUACGGGCCGUGAGAGCGGGAGCCCGGAGAUGGGCACUGAGAUAAGGGCCCAGGCCCUACGGGGCGCAGCAGGCGCGAAAACUCCGCAAUGCGCGAAAGCGUGACGGGGUCAUCCCGAGUGCCAUCCGCUGAGGGUGGCUUUUGCCUGGUGUAAUGAGCCGAGUGAAUAAGGGGAGGGCAAGUCUGGUGCCAG
RNAcentral lists this ribosomal RNA (377 nucleotides) under uncultured prokaryote. RNAcentral describes it as "bacterial SSU rRNA". It matches the Rfam family "Archaeal small subunit ribosomal RNA", at positions 102 to 461 of the family's 1478-position model. The record is from RNAcentral.